Neomonachus schauinslandi (Hawaiian monk seal) is the source of this 168-nucleotide small nuclear RNA. RefSeq annotates it as U1 spliceosomal RNA. The record is from RefSeq and is a predicted model, not a curated record. The transcript has a single exon. NCBI's taxonomy places the organism in Eukaryota, Metazoa, Chordata, Mammalia, Carnivora, Phocidae.
AUACUUACCUGUAUCACUGAAGAGAUAUCAUGAUCAAGAAGAUGGUUUUCCCAGGGCGAGGCUUAUUCAUUGCACUCUGGUUGUGCUGAUCCCUGCGAUUUUCCCAAAUGGGGGAAAGUCAACUGCAUAAUUUGUGGUAAUGGGGGGCUGUGUUCUUGCUUUCCCCUA